Small nucleolar RNA from Sorex araneus (European shrew), 105 nucleotides. RefSeq annotates it as small nucleolar RNA U13. The transcript has a single exon. The record is from RefSeq and is a predicted model, not a curated record. Lineage: Eukaryota; Metazoa; Chordata; Mammalia; Eulipotyphla; Soricidae.
AUCCUUUUUUGAGUUCAUAAGCAUGAUAACUGGGUGUUGACACCAUUGUAUGACAAGUGCCUUCCUUAAAUCUUGUUACAAUGUCAGCACAUUACCCAAGUGGGA